This 459-nucleotide ribosomal RNA is filed under the name uncultured bacterium. RNAcentral describes it as "partial 16S ribosomal RNA". It matches the Rfam family "Bacterial small subunit ribosomal RNA", at positions 28 to 523 of the family's 1533-position model. The record is from RNAcentral.
GACGAACGCUGGCGGCGUGCCUAAUACAUGCAAGUCGAGCGGUAAGGCCUCUUCGGAGGUACACGAGCGGCGGACGGCUGAGUAACACGUAGGAACAUACCCCAAAGUGAGGGAUAACUGCUCGAAAGAGUAGCUAAUACCGCAUGUGGUCUUCGGAUUAAAGCUUCGGCGCUUUGGGAAUGGCCUGCGUCUGAUUAGCUAGAUGGUGAGGUAAUGGCUCACCAUGGCGACGAUCAGUAGCUGGUCUGAGAGGAUGAUCAGCCAGACUGGGACUGGGACACGGCCCAGACUCCUACGGGAGGCAGCAGUAGGGAAUUUUCCACAAUGGGCGAAAGCCUGAUGGAGCAACGCCGCGUGCAGGAUGAAUGCCUUCGGGUUGUAAACUGCUUUUAUAUGUGACGAAUAUGACGGUAGCAUAUGAAUAAGGAUCGGCUAACUCCGUGCCAGCCGCCGCCGUAA